Molecule: ribosomal RNA, 755 nt
Filed under: uncultured Oxalobacteraceae bacterium
Lineage: Bacteria; Pseudomonadati; Pseudomonadota; Betaproteobacteria; Burkholderiales; Oxalobacteraceae
Description: bacterial SSU rRNA
Rfam family: Bacterial small subunit ribosomal RNA
Source: RNAcentral
AUUGAACGCUGGCGGCAUGCCUUACACAUGCAAGUCGAACGGCAGCACGGGUGCUUGCACCUGGUGGCGAGUGGCGAACGGGUGAGUAAUAUAUCGGAACGUACCCUAGAGUGGGGGAUAACGCAGCGAAAGUUGCGCUAAUACCGCAUACGAUCUACGGAUGAAAGUGGGGGAUCGCAAGACCUCAUGCUCAUGGAGCGGCCGAUAUCUGAUUAGCUAGUUGGUGGGGUAAAAGCCUACCAAGGCAUCGAUCAGUAGCUGGUCUGAGAGGACGACCAGCCACACUGGAACUGAGACACGGUCCAGACUCCUACGGGAGGCAGCAGUGGGGAAUUUUGGACAAUGGGCGCAAGCCUGAUCCAGCAAUGCCGCGUGAGUGAAGAAGGCCUUCGGGUUGUAAAGCUCUUUUGUCAGGGAAGAAACGGUGAGGGCUAAUAUCCUUUGCUAAUGACGGUACCUGAAGAAUAAGCACCGGCUAACUACGUGCCAGCAGCCGCGGUAAUACGUAGGGUGCAAGCGUUAAUCGGAAUUACUGGGCGUAAAGCGUGCGCAGGCGGUUAUGUAAGUCAGAUGUGAAAUCCCCGGGCUCAACCUGGGAAUGGCAUUUGAGACUGCAUGGCUAGAGUGUGUCAGAGGGGGGUAGAAUUCCACGUGUAGCAGUGAAAUGCGUAGAGAUGUGGAGGAAUACCGAUGGCGAAGGCAGCCCCCUGGGAUAACACUGACGCUCAUGCACGAAAGCGUGGGGAGCAAACAGG